UCAAACAGGAGAAGAAGAGAAAAUAUCAGUAGAAAGCUAGGAAUAUAUUGAGAUGGCAAUUUGCAAGAGGAGUACAAGCGUUGUGUGCAUGGUAGCUUUCAUUGUGGUGAUGGCCAUGGUGAUGCUAUCUUGUGAUGCAGCAGACGAGCCAGAACGGUGCUUUAGCCUUGAAGAUGGAUGCGAUAGUGAAGACAAGUGCAGGGAUUAUUGUGUGGCAUCAGGUUACACCAAGGGAUCUCAUUGCACGAAGGAGCACCAGGAGUGCUGUUGCUUUGUGUCCGGCCCCAAGCCCAAGCUGCACGCCGUCAGUCCUCAAGAUUGAGACAUUGCUUUUCUUGAUUAUAUAGUACUAUAUAUUAUCAGAGCUAUUCUGCAACCGAUUAAAUAAUAUUUCACAGUUUAGGAGUAACUUUAAAAUAUUGAAAUAUGGAUCAACCAAAAAGCAAUGGACAGUAUUUUGAUA
Molecule: long non-coding RNA, 463 nt
Organism: Lolium perenne
Lineage: Eukaryota; Viridiplantae; Streptophyta; Magnoliopsida; Poales; Poaceae
Source: RefSeq, a predicted model, not a curated record